RNAcentral lists this ribosomal RNA (792 nucleotides) under marine metagenome. RNAcentral's name for it is "bacterial SSU rRNA". It matches the Rfam family "Bacterial small subunit ribosomal RNA", at positions 700 to 1505 of the family's 1533-position model. The record is from RNAcentral.
CAUGGAACACCAAUUGCGAAAGCAGCUCACUAAACCAUUACUGACGCUCAUGGACGAAAGUGUGGGUAGCGAACAGGAUUAGAUACCCUGGUAGUCCACGCCGUAAACUAUGAUCACUCGUUGUUGGCAAUACACAGUCAGUGACCAAGCGAAAGCGAUAAGUGAUCCACCUGGGGAGUACGAUCGCAAGGUUGAAACUCAAAGGAAUUGACGGGGGCCCGCACAAGCGGUGGAGCAUGUGGUUUAAUUCGAUGAUACGCGAGGAACCUUACCUGGGCUCAAAUGCAUAAUGACAGAUCCUGAAAGGGAUUUUUCUUCGGACAUUUUGCAAGGUGCUGCAUGGUUGUCGUCAGCUCGUGCCGUGAGGUGUCGGGUUAAGUCCCAUAACGAGCGCAACCCCUACUCUUAGUUGCCAGCAUGUAAUGAUGGGGACUCUAGGAGAACUGCCUACGCAAGUAGAGAGGAAGGUGGGGAUGACGUCAAAUCAGCACGGCCCUUACGUCCAGGGCUACACACGUGCUACAAUGGCCGGUACAGAGGGCAGCCACCUGGUGACAGGGAGCGAAUCUCUAAAGCCGGUCUCAGUUCGGAUCGAAGUCUGCAACCCGACUUCGUGAAGCUGGAAUCGCUAGUAAUCGCGCAUCAGCCAUGGCGCGGUGAAUACGUUCCCGGGCCUUGUACACACCGCCCGUCAAGCCAUGGAAGCUGGGGGUACCUGAAGUCGGUGACCGUUAAGGAGCUGCCUAGGGUAAAACUGGUGACUGGGGCUAAGUCGUAACAAGGUAGCCGUAC